RNAcentral lists this transfer RNA (76 nucleotides) under Halobacteriovoraceae bacterium. RNAcentral describes it as "tRNA-Trp". It matches the Rfam family "tRNA". From Rfam's summary of the family: Transfer RNA (tRNA) molecules are approximately 80 nucleotides in length. Their secondary structure includes four short double-helical elements and three loops (D, anti-codon, and T loops). The record is from RNAcentral. Lineage: Bacteria; Pseudomonadati; Bdellovibrionota; Bacteriovoracia; Bacteriovoracales; Halobacteriovoraceae.
GGGUACAUAGCUCCAACGGUAGAGCGGCGGAUUCCAAAUCCGUAGGUUGUGGGUUCAAAUCCUACUGUACCCGCCA